AAAAAAAAACCUGAUAUUUUAAAAAAGAUGUCUACAGUUUUUAAUACUGUGAUAUUGACUAAUACAAUUUUCUCUUCUCCAAAGUAUACUUACCCACUUUGCAUUCAUAGGCUUUUAAUUAUUCUAAAUUAAAAUUAAUGUGUACAAAGGGAAAUAGAGUAUUUACUUUUGAAAAAAAAACAUACAUUUUUCUUUAUUUGUACUGGGGAACUUAAUGUAUUUAUCAUUAUUAUUUCAUUUUCUGCAGAGCAUGUACCACUUUUCCUCUCACAUUAAUAUUUAAAUUUUUCUUAAAGGGAUCAUUACUCAUACAUACCUAGUAAUGCGAUUUAGUUAAGACUUGUUAUAUUUUCAACUCCAGGCAUGGCAUGGCUAUCACUGUUGGCCACAGCCAUGCUACACCAUUAACUAUUUUGAUAA
RNAcentral lists this long non-coding RNA (420 nucleotides) under Bos taurus (domestic cattle). RNAcentral describes it as "long non-coding RNA NONBTAT011354". The record is from RNAcentral. Lineage: Eukaryota; Metazoa; Chordata; Mammalia; Artiodactyla; Bovidae.